AGAGCGAACGCUGGCGGCAGGCCUAAUACAUGCAAGUCGAACGGAUCCUUCGGGAUUAGUGGCGGACGGGUGAGUAACACGUGGGAACGUGCCCUUUGGUUCGGAACAACUCAGGGAAACUUGAGCUAAUACCGAAUGUGCCCUUCGGGGGAAAGAUUUAUCGCCAUUGGAGCGGCCCGCGUCUGAUUAGUUAGUUGGUGAGGUAAAGGCUCACCAAGGCGACGAUCAGUAGCUGGUCUGAGAGGAUGAUCAGCCACACUGGGACUGAGACACGGCCCAGACUCCUACGGGAGGCAGCAGUAGGGAAUCUUGCGCAAUGGGCGAAAGCCUGACGCAGCCAUGCCGCGUGAAUGAUGAAGGUCUUAGGAUUGUAAAAUUCUUUCAGUCGGGACGAUAAUGACGGUACCCGCAGAAGAACGCCCGGCUAACUUCGUGCCAGCAGCCGC
RNAcentral lists this ribosomal RNA (446 nucleotides) under uncultured bacterium. Its description in RNAcentral is "SSU rRNA". It matches the Rfam family "Bacterial small subunit ribosomal RNA", at positions 26 to 518 of the family's 1533-position model. The record is from RNAcentral.